CUCUUCUUGAAUUAUGUAAGAAGUAUGGCCUGCCCAAUGAUUUUUUUUAAUGGCCGCGGUAUAUUGACCGUGCAAAGGUAGCAUAAUCAUUAGUCUUUUAAUUGAAGGCUGGAAUGAAUGGUUGAACGAGAUAAUAACUAUCUUAAUUUUAUUAAAUUGAAUUUAAUUUUUGGGUUAAAAAGCUUAAAUAAUUUUUUGGGACGAGAAGACCCUAUAGAGUUUGAAUAUAAUUAAUAGUUGAACUUAAUUAGUAAUAAAUUUGAUUAUAAAUAGUAUUUUGUUGGGGUGAUGAAAAGAUAAGAGUAACUCUUUAUGUAAUUUAAUUAUAAAUUUGUAUUAUUUUGAUCCACAAUUGGUGAUUAAAAGACUAAAUUACC
This 377-nucleotide ribosomal RNA is filed under the name Calolampra sp. BL40. Its description in RNAcentral is "partial 16S ribosomal RNA". Lineage: Eukaryota; Metazoa; Arthropoda; Insecta; Blattodea; Blaberidae. The record is from RNAcentral.